RNAcentral lists this long non-coding RNA (199 nucleotides) under Musa acuminata (dwarf banana). RNAcentral describes it as "long non-coding RNA (MACU_LNC007811)". Lineage: Eukaryota; Viridiplantae; Streptophyta; Magnoliopsida; Zingiberales; Musaceae. The record is from RNAcentral.
CCUGCUAGAUAAGUCUUGUCAAUUUCCGUUCCUCACUCCACCGAGCUAGCUGAUGCUUCCGAUCCGCCAAGUUACUACUAGACAAGUAGGCAAGCUGCGGUAAUAUAAGGGCAAGCAACACCUGUAAAGUAGUAAAAGACCUAUACUCUGGCUACUGAGUUCAAUUAUUCACUGAGCUUCUUUCACUGCUAACUCUCCC